RNAcentral lists this ribosomal RNA (551 nucleotides) under uncultured bacterium. RNAcentral's name for it is "bacterial SSU rRNA". It matches the Rfam family "Bacterial small subunit ribosomal RNA", at positions 355 to 896 of the family's 1533-position model. The record is from RNAcentral.
UAGGGAAUCUUCGNGCAAUGGGGGCAACCCUGACCGAGCAACGCCGCGUGAGUGAAGAAGGUUUUCGGAUCGUAAAGCUCUGUUGUAAGUCAAGAACGAGUGUGAGAGUGGAAAGUUCACACUGUGACGGUAGCUUACCAGAAAGGGACGGCUAACUACGUGCCAGCAGCCGCGGUAAUACGUAGGUCCCGAGCGUUGUCCGGAUUUAUUGGGCGUAAAGCGAGCGCAGGCGGUUUGAUAAGUCUGAAGUUAAAGGCUGUGGCUCAACCAUAGUUCGCUUUGGAAACUGUCAAACUUGAGUGCAGAAGGGGAGAGUGGAAUUCCAUGUGUAGCGGUGAAAUGCGUAGAUAUAUGGAGGAACACCGGUGGCGAAAGCGGCUCUCUGGUCUGUAACUGACGCUGAGGCUCGAAAGCGUGGGGAGCGAACAGGAUUAGAUACCCUGGUAGUCCACGCCGUAAACGAUGAGUGCUAGGUGUUGGAUCCUUUCCGGGAUUCAGUGCCGCAGCUAACGCAUUAAGCACUCCGCCUGGGGAGUACGACCGCAAGGUUG